UGGUAGUGUAUUGGACAACCAUGGCUUUAACGGGUAACGGAGGAUUAGGGUUCGAUUCCGGAGAGGGAGCCUGAGAAACGGCUACCACAUCUAAGGAAGGCAGCAGGCGCGUAAAUUACCCAAUCCUAAUUCAGGGAGGUAGUGACAAGAAAUAACGGACUGAGGCUACGCUUCAGGAUUGCAAUGAGUAGAAUUUAAACCCCUUUAUGAGGAUCAAUUGGAGGGCAAGUCUGGUGCCAGCAGCCGCGGUAAUUCCAGCUCCAAUAGCGUAUAUUAAAGUUGUUGCAGUUAAAAAGCUCGUAGUUGGAUUUCUGGGAGAGUGCCAAUGUCCUCUUGUGAGUGUGCAGCGGUGCUCUUCCAUCCUUCUGUUAACGCCUCUUGGUAUUUGUUUACUGGUGGCGGGCUCAGAUAUUUUACCUUGAGAAAAUUAGAGUGUUUCAGGCAGGCUUGCGCCCGAAUACAUUAGCAUGGAAUAAUAGAAUAGGACUGUGGUCUCCUUUGUUGGUUUGAGGGACUAUAGUAAUGGUUAAUAGGGACAGUUGGGGGCAUUAGUAUUUAAUUGUCAGAGGUGAAAUUCUCGGAUUUGUUAAAGACUAACUUAUGCGAAAGCAUUUGCCAAGGAUGUUUUC
RNAcentral lists this ribosomal RNA (629 nucleotides) under uncultured ciliate. RNAcentral's name for it is "SSU rRNA". It matches the Rfam family "Eukaryotic small subunit ribosomal RNA", at positions 326 to 971 of the family's 1831-position model. Lineage: Eukaryota; Ciliophora. The record is from RNAcentral.